UCAAAGUUUCUAACACAGCUUUUCCAAACAUCCUAGUUUUAUUUUGGAUGCUUACAUUAUUUUACUUUGCACACAGAAACAAAAUUUUUCAACAAAAAACAAAAGUACCAGGGUCAAAAUUAUUAGCCCCCUUGAUACUAAUAGUCAAUUGUGUUUCCUUUUUGCUGGAUAACAGCUUGCAGUUGUUUUUUUGUAGUUUGUAACAACUCUGACAUCUCCGGAGGAAUCCCAGCCCAUUCUUCUUUGGCAAACCUUUCAAGCUCCUCCAGAUCUGAUGGUCUUCUGGCAUGGACCCUGGUCUUCAGUUGACCCCACAGGUUUUCAAUGGGAUUCAAGUCAGGGCUUUGUGCAGGAUUCCUUCAACCUUGACAAGAUUCACUGAAGCAUCCCCACAGCAUGAUACUACCACCACCGUGUUUAACUUGUCUCAUGUGGCCCUGCAGCUUCUCCUCCUCCACCUCCUCCUGAAGCCUUCAUCUUUUUCAUCAUCAGCUGCUCAGUGACUCUGUUGGACGUCUCACCGUGUGGCAGCAGCUCAGGAGUUUGCAGUCAACCAAGGCCGACUCAGAAUCACUCCCACCGGGAAGAUCUGUGAAGGAAGGUCCACCCGGCUGGUCCAGAAGCUCCGGUCCAGCAGAGCAGCGUCAGAAUGGAGACGUAACCGGUGUUGAUGUCACCGCCUUGACGAAUAGAAGAAAAGGGCAAAAUUUGCCAAAAAUCUUCGUGCCAGGGCGCCCGUGUGGCUUGGCGCGUUGGGCGGGCGACCCAUGUGCGGGGGCUGGUCCCCGGCGCGGCUGGCCCGGGUUCGAUUCCCGCUUGCGGCCCUUUGCUGCGUGUCUUCCCCUGACUCUUCUCCUGUUUCCUGUCUCUCUCACACUGCACCUAUCCAAUAAAGAGCCGAUAAAAGGCCAAAAAAAAAUAACUUUAAAAAAAAAAUUCGUGCCUUCGUGCCUUCGUGCCUUCGUGCCUUCGUGCCUUCGUGCCUUCGUGCCUUCGUGCCUUCGUGC
Long non-coding RNA from Amphiprion ocellaris (clown anemonefish), 1007 nucleotides. The record is from Ensembl. Lineage: Eukaryota; Metazoa; Chordata; Actinopteri; Pomacentridae.